UGGGGAAUAUUGCACAAUGGGGGAAACCCUGAUGCAGCGACGCCGCGUGAGCGAAGAAGGUUUUCGAAUCGUAAAGCUCUGUCCUAUGAGAAGAUAAUGACGGUAUCAUAGGAGGAAGCCCCGGCUAAAUACGUGCCAGCAGCCGCGGUAAUACGUAUGGGGCGAGCGUUGUCCGGAAUUAUUGGGUUUAAAGGGAGCGUAGGCCGCGUUUUAAGCGUGUUGUGAAAUGUAGACGCCCAACGUCUGCAUCGCAGCGCGAACUGGGACGCUUGAGUACGCGCAACGUUGGCGGAAUUCGUCGUGUAGCGGUGAAAUGCCUAGAUAUGACGAGGAACUCCGAUUGCGAAGGCAGCUGACGGGAGCGGCACUGACGCUUAAGCUCGAAGGUGCGGGUAUCAAACAGG
RNAcentral lists this ribosomal RNA (404 nucleotides) under Verrucomicrobiota bacterium. RNAcentral's name for it is "Verrucomicrobia bacterium partial 16S ribosomal RNA". It matches the Rfam family "Bacterial small subunit ribosomal RNA", at positions 355 to 776 of the family's 1533-position model. Lineage: Bacteria; Pseudomonadati; Verrucomicrobiota. The record is from RNAcentral.